This 254-nucleotide ribosomal RNA is filed under the name uncultured bacterium. Its description in RNAcentral is "partial 16S ribosomal RNA". It matches the Rfam family "Bacterial small subunit ribosomal RNA", at positions 524 to 776 of the family's 1533-position model. The record is from RNAcentral.
GACGGAGGGUGCAAGCGUUGUUCGGAUUGACUGGGCGUAAAGGGCGGGUAGGCGGCCACCGCAAGUCAGUUGUGAAAUCUCUGGGCUUAACCCAGAAAGGUCAACUGAUACUGCGGGGCUAGAGUGCAGAAGGGGCAACUGGAAUUCUCGGUGUAGCGGUGAAAUGCGUAGAUAUCGAGAGGAACACCGGUGGCGAAGGCGGGUCUCUGGGCCGAUACUGACGCUGAGGAGCGAAAGCGUGGGGAGCGAACAGG